AUGUGGUCUGGAAUUUAUCACUUCCAUACCAUAACCAGAGCCAUAUAAUAUUUUUUGACCAAUUUUUUUAGUUCAGUCAAACUUGUGGUGGAUUUAGAAGCUGUGACAACAUACAUGUGUUCUACAAAAGAGAAAAAUAGUUUUAAAAUGAGGUUAA
Molecule: long non-coding RNA, 157 nt
Organism: Octopus sinensis (East Asian common octopus)
Lineage: Eukaryota; Metazoa; Mollusca; Cephalopoda; Octopoda; Octopodidae
Exons: 4
Source: RefSeq, a predicted model, not a curated record